UUCCUCUCAGGACUGCACCUGGAGAGUUUCCAGUACUCUACCAGUCUCGGCUAUGGGAGGGAGGGUCAAAGCAGAGGCAUAAACCGUUCCAUUACUAGCUUGGCCAGUGACUAGCGAGUAGAAGGCAAUCUGCUACAAGU
Molecule: small nucleolar RNA, 140 nt
Organism: Tachyglossus aculeatus (Australian echidna)
Lineage: Eukaryota; Metazoa; Chordata; Mammalia; Monotremata; Tachyglossidae
Source: RefSeq, a predicted model, not a curated record